AGAGCGAACGCUGGCGGCAGGCCUAACACAUGCAAGUCGAACGGAUCCUUCGGGGUUAGUGGCGGACGGGUGAGUAACGCGUGGGAACGUGCCUUUGGUUCGGAAUAGCUCCUGGAAACGGGUGGUAAUGCCGAAUGUGCCCUUCGGGGGAAAGAUUUAUCGCCAUUAGAGCGGCCCGCGUCUGAUUAGCUAGUUGGUGAGGUAAAGGCUCACCAAGGCGACGAUCAGUAGCUGGUCUGAGAGGAUGACCAGCCACAUUGGGACUGAGACACGGCCCAAACUCCUACGGGAGGCAGCAGUGGGGAAUCUUGCGCAAUGGGCGAAAGCCUGACGCAGCCAUGCCGCGUGAAUGAUGAAGGUCUUAGGAUUGUAAAAUUCUUUCACCGGGGACGAUAAUGACGGUACCCGGAGAAGAAGCCCCGGCUAACUUCGUGCCAGCAGCCGC
This 445-nucleotide ribosomal RNA is filed under the name uncultured bacterium. RNAcentral describes it as "SSU rRNA". It matches the Rfam family "Bacterial small subunit ribosomal RNA", at positions 26 to 518 of the family's 1533-position model. The record is from RNAcentral.